This 500-nucleotide ribosomal RNA is filed under the name uncultured Glomeromycotina. Its description in RNAcentral is "partial small subunit ribosomal RNA". It matches the Rfam family "Eukaryotic small subunit ribosomal RNA", at positions 591 to 1092 of the family's 1831-position model. Lineage: Eukaryota; Fungi; Glomeromycota. The record is from RNAcentral.
CCAAUAGCGUAUAUUAAAGUUGUUGCAGUUAAAAAGCUCGUAGUUGAAUUUCGGGAUUAGUACGUUGGUCGUGCCUUCGGUAUGUACUGAUGUUACUGAUUCCUCCCUUCCGACGCACCGUCAUGUCAUUAAUUUGGUGUGGCGGGGAAUCAGGACUGUUACUUUGAAAAAAUUAGAGUGUUUAAAGCAGGCUCGCGCUUGAAUACAUUAGCAUGGUAUAAUGAAAUAGGACGUUCGAUCCUAUUUUGUUGGUUUCUAGGAUUGACGUAAUGAUUAAUAGGGAUAGUUGGGGGCAUUAGUAUUCAAUUGUCAGAGGUGAAAUUCUUGGAUUUAUUGAAGACUAACUACUGCGAAAGCAUUUGCCAAGGAUGUUUUCAUUAAUCAAGAACGAAAGUUAGGGGAUCGAAGACGAUCAGAUACCGUCGUAGCCUUAACCAUAAACUAUGCCGACUAGGGAUCGGAUGAUGUUAAUUUUUUAAUGACUCAUUCGGCGCCUUACG